AUCUUUUGAUCUGUCUUUUAUUUCAAUAUACCCAUCAGGAUGUUUUACAGCAAGAUCACCAGAGUGAUACCAGCCUCCUGCAAAAGCAGCUUCAUUGGCUUUCGGGUUCUUCAGGUAGCCUUUCAUCACAACAUUACCCCUGAAGACGAUUUCUCCCAUCGUUUUCCCAUCGGCUGGAACAGGUGUCAUGUCCGUGGGGUUAACUACAUCCAGAUGCUCCAGGCUUACAUAUCUCACUCCUUGACGUGCAUUGAGACGCGCUUGAACAUCUGUGGGAAGUAAAUCCCACUCAGGCUUCCAUGUGCAUAAAGUGGAGGGGCCAUAAGUUUCAGAAAGGCCAUAAGUGUGCAAGACACGGAAACCACGUUGAGUCAUUGCAGCAAGAACAGGAGGAGGAGGAGAAGCACCAGCAGUGCUUACAUGUACUAGCCGAGGCAGGGGAAGGAUGGUCUCCUCUUUUGAAGCAUUAACUAUGGUAUUGAGCACCACAGGU
This 493-nucleotide unclassified non-coding RNA is filed under the name Hevea brasiliensis (rubber tree). The record is from RNAcentral. Lineage: Eukaryota; Viridiplantae; Streptophyta; Magnoliopsida; Malpighiales; Euphorbiaceae.